RNAcentral lists this ribosomal RNA (711 nucleotides) under Rhodococcus sp. KLBMP 1293. Its description in RNAcentral is "bacterial SSU rRNA". It matches the Rfam family "Bacterial small subunit ribosomal RNA", at positions 113 to 845 of the family's 1533-position model. The record is from RNAcentral. Lineage: Bacteria; Bacillati; Actinomycetota; Actinomycetes; Mycobacteriales; Nocardiaceae.
ACACGUGGGUGAUCUGCCCUGCACUUCGGGAUAAGCCUGGGAAACUGGGUCUAAUACCGGAUAUGACCUUCGGCUGCAUGGCCGUUGGUGGAAAGGUUUACUGGUGCAGGAUGGGCCCGCGGCCUAUCAGCUUGUUGGUGGGGUAAUGGCCUACCAAGGCGACGACGGGUAGCCGACCUGAGAGGGUGACCGGCCACACUGGGACUGAGACACGGCCCAGACUCCUACGGGAGGCAGCAGUGGGGAAUAUUGCACAAUGGGCGAAAGCCUGAUGCAGCGACGCCGCGUGAGGGAUGACGGCCUUCGGGUUGUAAACCUCUUUCAGCAGGGACGAAGCGAAAGUGACGGUACCUGCAGAAGAAGCACCGGCCAACUACGUGCCAGCAGCCGCGGUAAUACGUAGGGUGCAAGCGUUGUCCGGAAUUACUGGGCGUAAAGAGCUCGUAGGCGGUUUGUCGCGUCGUCUGUGAAAACUCGAGGCUCAACCUCGAGCUUGCAGGCGAUACGGGCAGACUUGAGUACUGCAGGGGAGACUGGAAUUCCUGGUGUAGCGGUGAAAUGCGCAGAUAUCAGGAGGAACACCGGUGGCGAAGGCGGGUCUCUGGGCAGUAACUGACGCUGAGGAGCGAAAGCGUGGGUAGCGAACAGGAUUAGAUACCCUGGUAGUCCACGCCGUAAACGGUGGGCGCUAGGUGUGGGUUUCCUUCCACG